AGUGAACGCUGGCGGUAGGCCUAACACAUGCAAGUCGAACGGCAGCACAGUAAGAGCUUGCUCUUACGGGUGGCGAGUGGCGGACGGGUGAGGAAUGCAUCGGAAUCUACUUUUUCGUGGGGGAUAACGUAGGGAAACUUACGCUAAUACCGCAUACGACCUACGGGUGAAAGCAGGGGAUCUUCGGACCUUGCGCGAUUGAAUGAGCCGAUGUCGGAUUAGCUAGUUGGCGGGGUAAAGGCCCACCAAGGCGACGAUCCGUAGCUGGUCUGAGAGGAUGAUCAGCCACACUGGAACUGAGACACGGUCCAGACGACUACGGGAGGCAGCAGUGGGGAAUAUUGGACAAUGGGCGCAAGCCUGAUCCAGCCAUACCGCGUGGGUGAAGAAGGCCUUCGGGUUGUAAAGCCCUUUUGUUGGGAAAGAAAAGCAGCAGGUUAAUACCCAGCUGUUCUGACGGUACCCAAAGAAUAAGCACCGGCUAACUUCGUG
This 492-nucleotide ribosomal RNA is filed under the name uncultured bacterium. RNAcentral describes it as "partial 16S ribosomal RNA". It matches the Rfam family "Bacterial small subunit ribosomal RNA", at positions 29 to 507 of the family's 1533-position model. The record is from RNAcentral.